This 468-nucleotide ribosomal RNA is filed under the name uncultured bacterium. RNAcentral's name for it is "partial 16S ribosomal RNA". It matches the Rfam family "Bacterial small subunit ribosomal RNA", at positions 28 to 507 of the family's 1533-position model. The record is from RNAcentral.
GACGAACGCUGGCGGCGUGCUUAACACAUGCAAGUCGAACGGAAAGGCCCUGCUUUUGUGGGGUGCUCGAGUGGCGAACGGGUGAGUAACACGUGAGUAACCUGCCCUUGACUUUGGGAUAACUUCAGGAAACUGGGGCUAAUACCGGAUAGGAGCUCCUGCUGCAUGGUGGGGGUUGGAAAGUUUCGGCGGUUGGGGAUGGACUCGCGGCUUAUCAGCUUGUUGGUGGGGUAGUGGCUUACCAAGGCUUUGACGGGUAGCCGGCCUGAGAGGGUGACCGGCCACAAUGGGACUGAGAUACGGCCCAGACUCCUACGGGAGGCAGCAGGGGGGAAUAUUGCACAGUGGGCGGAAGCCUGAUGCAGCAACGCCGCGUGCGGGAUGACGGCCUUCGGGUUGUAAACCGCUUUCGCCUGUGACGAAGCGUGAGUGACGGUAAUGGGUAAAGAAGCACCGGCUAACUACGUG